RNAcentral lists this ribosomal RNA (800 nucleotides) under Micrococcus sp. K51. RNAcentral describes it as "bacterial SSU rRNA". It matches the Rfam family "Bacterial small subunit ribosomal RNA", at positions 60 to 871 of the family's 1533-position model. Lineage: Bacteria; Bacillati; Actinomycetota; Actinomycetes; Micrococcales; Micrococcaceae. The record is from RNAcentral.
AGUCGAACGAUGAAGCCCAGCUUGCUGGGUGGAUUAGUGGCGAACGGGUGAGUAACACGUGAGUAACCUGCCCUUAACUCUGGGAUAAGCCUGGGAAACUGGGUCUAAUACCGGAUAGGAGCGUCCACCGCAUGGUGGGUGUUGGAAAGAUUUAUCGGUUUUGGAUGGACUCGCGGCCUAUCAGCUUGUUGGUGAGGUAAUGGCUCACCAAGGCGACGACGGGUAGCCGGCCUGAGAGGGUGACCGGCCACACUGGGACUGAGACACGGCCCAGACUCCUACGGGAGGCAGCAGUGGGGAAUAUUGCACAAUGGGCGCAAGCCUGAUGCAGCGACGCCGCGUGAGGGAUGACGGCCUUCGGGUUGUAAACCUCUUUCAGUAGGGAAGAAGCGAAAGUGACGGUACCUGCAGAAGAAGCACCGGCUAACUACGUGCCAGCAGCCGCGGUAAUACGUAGGGUGCGAGCGUUAUCCGGAAUUAUUGGGCGUAAAGAGCUCGUAGGCGGUUUGUCGCGUCUGUCGUGAAAGUCCGGGGCUUAACCCCGGAUCUGCGGUGGGUACGGGCAGACUAGAGUGCAGUAGGGGAGACUGGAAUUCCUGGUGUAGCGGUGGAAUGCGCAGAUAUCAGGAGGAACACCGAUGGCGAAGGCAGGUCUCUGGGCUGUAACUGACGCUGAGGAGCGAAAGCAUGGGGAGCGAACAGGAUUAGAUACCCUGGUAGUCCAUGCCGUAAACGUUGGGCACUAGGUGUGGGGACCAUUCCACGGUUUCCGCGCCGCAGCUAACGCAUUAAGUGCCCCG